RNAcentral lists this ribosomal RNA (335 nucleotides) under uncultured soil bacterium. RNAcentral's name for it is "bacterial SSU rRNA". It matches the Rfam family "Bacterial small subunit ribosomal RNA", at positions 26 to 363 of the family's 1533-position model. The record is from RNAcentral.
AGAUUGAACGCUGGCGGCAGGCCUAACACAUGCAAGUCGAGCGGUAGAGAGGUGCUUGCAUCUCUUGAGAGCGGCGGACGGGUGAGUAAUGCCUAGGAAUCUGCCUAGUGGUGGGGGAUAACGUUCGGAAACGGACGCUAAUACCGCAUACGUCCUACGGGAGAAAGCGGGGGACCUUCGGGCCUCGCGCCAUUAGAUGAGCCUAGGUCGGAUUAGCUAGUUGGUGAGGUAAUGGCUCACCAAGGCGACGAUCCGUAGCUGGUCUGAGAGGAUGAUCAGUCACACUGGAACUGAGACACGGUCCAGACUCCUACGGGAGCAGCGAGUAGGGGAAU